UGUACCCACAUGAUGCAUUAGGGGAACCCGGUUCCAGAGAGAGCGGGGAGUAUGUCCACACCCCGGUUUAAUCAGGUACUAGGCUUCACGAUCCCAUACUCGGUAUGUGUUUAGUACUUUCAAACACUUGACCGCAACUCUAACACAUUUCAACCUUAGUAGUUUUUCUCUAAACAGAUGGGGCAUCCACCAAAUCGAAAACAUAUUACCAAC
Molecule: long non-coding RNA, 213 nt
Filed under: Setaria viridis
Lineage: Eukaryota; Viridiplantae; Streptophyta; Magnoliopsida; Poales; Poaceae
Description: long non-coding RNA (SVIR_LNC010593)
Source: RNAcentral